This 190-nucleotide ribosomal RNA is filed under the name uncultured bacterium. Its description in RNAcentral is "partial 16S ribosomal RNA". It matches the Rfam family "Bacterial small subunit ribosomal RNA", at positions 339 to 525 of the family's 1533-position model. The record is from RNAcentral.
CUACGGGAGGCAGCAGUGAGGAAUAUUGGUCAAUGGGCGCAAGCCUGAACCAGCCAUCCCGCGUGCAGGAAGACGGCGCUAUGCGUUGUAAACUGCUUUUCCAGGGGGAGAAACUUGCGCACGUGUUGCGCAAUUGACGGUACCCUGGGAAUAAGCAUCGGCUAACUCCGUGCCAGCAGCCGCGGUAAUA